Molecule: long non-coding RNA, 735 nt
Organism: Pyrus x bretschneideri (Chinese white pear)
Lineage: Eukaryota; Viridiplantae; Streptophyta; Magnoliopsida; Rosales; Rosaceae
Exons: 3
Source: RefSeq, a predicted model, not a curated record
UAGUCUUAAGAAGAUUUUCAAUAAUUAUUGCUGUUUAUGAAAAGCAAAAGACUAAAGUUUGCAUCUAAAAUAUUAAAUACUUUUGAGGAUAUCUGGACUUAAUAGAUUAUUCCAACGGAUCUGUUUCAAGUUUUAGAAGACUAACUAAUUGAAUUGCAGAAAAAUGCUUUUGAAUGGUGCUUACCAAUGAUUCCGCACUCAGAGAAUGCUAUUCAAGUGACUCAGCACGUCGCAAACUUCUUGGUCAGCGAGGCAAGGAAGUCAUUAAACAGACCGCCUGUUGGGCAAGUCCUUGACAAUCUCAUCUACAAUUACAGUCCGACUUUCUGUGGGAAGGUUGGGAAGGGAUACGACGAAGUUUACAUCUUUACACAACCUUCACUCGCUCAUUCGUAAAUCAAACGUGCAAUCGAACGUGUAAUGGACAAUGGAAAUGGAAAUAACUGAAGACUUUGAGAACUGUAAACAUUGUAAUUACAGGACAUUAGCACUCUCAUGAGUCUAAAACCUUUUUUGUGAUAUUCAUGCCAUCAGAUUAUUUAGUGAAAAUAUGACUUUAGCCCUUCAAACUCAAUUUUCUUCAUAUUAAACCCUAGAUAAUCUUUUUAUUCAAAGAAAACCCAAUGACUAGGAUCCACAUAAGCAAAUUCAUUAACUUCAUAUUAAUUCACACAUUUUACAUUUUUCACAUGCCUAAAAUACCCCUAUUACAUACUUGAUGUAGACAAUUAAUUG